This 346-nucleotide ribosomal RNA is filed under the name Hyperomyzus lactucae (sowthistle aphid). Its description in RNAcentral is "partial 12S ribosomal RNA". The record is from RNAcentral. Lineage: Eukaryota; Metazoa; Arthropoda; Insecta; Hemiptera; Aphididae.
AACCAGGAUUAGAUACCCUAUUAUAAAAAUUUAAAUUAAUUUGCUAAAAAAUUAAUAGUUAUGUUCUUUAAAUUUAAAAAAUUUGGCGGUAUUUUAGUCUUAUUAGAGGAACCUGUUUAUUAAUUGAUAAUCCACGAUUAAUUUUACUUAUUUUAAUUAAUUCAUAUAUCGCUGUCAUGAAUAUAUUUAAAAAUUUAUUUUCUUUAUUUAUUUUUAUAAUUUAUGUUAAGUCAAGAUGUGGUUUAUAAAUAAGUAUAUAAUGGGUUACAUUAAAUUUUAUUUUUGGAUUUAAAAUGAAAAUUAAAAUGAAAUUGGAUUUAAUAGUAAAUUUAUUUAUUUAGUUAAU